Long non-coding RNA from Aricia agestis (brown argus), 136 nucleotides. RefSeq lists it as uncharacterized. The transcript is spliced from 3 exons. NCBI's taxonomy places the organism in Eukaryota, Metazoa, Arthropoda, Insecta, Lepidoptera, Lycaenidae. The record is from RefSeq and is a predicted model, not a curated record.
CGGUUUUAUUUCACAAUCAGCUGUUAAAAACCAUGAUAUGGCACAAACGGUGGGUCAGGAAAAAGCAUAGUCCAUAAGUUUGAAGUAAAAAAAAAUUGUACUUCUGUAUUCUUAAAUCCAGAUUUAGAGUUUAGAC